Molecule: long non-coding RNA, 2877 nt
Organism: Corapipo altera (White-ruffed manakin)
Lineage: Eukaryota; Metazoa; Chordata; Aves; Passeriformes; Pipridae
Exons: 6
Source: RefSeq, a predicted model, not a curated record
UGAAGGACCGAGCUAGUUGCUGGACCUCUGCUGCCUUGUAGAGUCCAGUUGUUUGUCUAUCCACAGCUCAAAAUCAUUUUUGUUAUUAGUGACUCAAAGAGUGAGAAGCAGUACCAACCCAGCUGGGGUGGCAAGUGGGUUUUCUCAUGUCAUUGUACAUUUUCUUUUCAUCAGUGAUCACUCUGUAGCAGGCUAUGUCUGUAUAUGACAUCUUAUACUACAUUCAUCCUUCUUAAAUUAUUUUAUGACUCUUGCUCUGAUCUCCAGGGUACCCCUGAUUUGGGAGAGUACAGAGCUGAAAACCUCUGGCCAGUGAACCAUGCAUUUCUCACUUAUAAGUUGCUUUCUCCUGACAAAAAAUGGUGGCAAACCAUAGCCAUCAGCGAAAAUCCCAAUGCUGUUUUUCCGGGGUGAUUAAUAUAGAAGCCAGCUCAAUCUGGGCUUAGUUUACACUGUUGGCUAUAAUUAACCUUUUAUUUUUGGAAGUUAAUAGAUGUAAACUUCUUCCUUCAUGAAAUGGAAAGGCAAGGGGUAUUUCAGAGGUCUUACGCCCUGCAUUAAAGCUGGUCCACAUGGAAGGAGAUAGAACAGGUAUGUAGCCUUUUCAGUUUUUGUGCGAUGCACAGAGAAGGGACAAGAGAUUUCCCUCCCUUCCACCACUGAGUGAUGAGUAUUUUCAAUAGUGGCUUCAGUUAAAAAGUGUUAGGUCUUACAAUAAACAUUUUUUCAGCGCCCUCUGCUGUGAUCAUUAGCAGCAUUGAGGAAGAUCAAGCCUGAUAGCCUUCAAAUGUUCAACUUAUUAAAAGCUACCCCUCCUUUUCCUCAGUGCUCUCUCCUCCCUUACCCCUAAUAACACAUUCCUGCUAAAAGCCAUCCAGUCCCACCCUGAAAUACAAGUGGUGCUGGUUCCACUCAGCCAACCUCAGCUGCACCUGGAGCGUGAGUGGACAGGGUCCCUGCCUUAAUGUUUCAUACUCCAGUAAAUCCAGUUUAAACACUCUUGCUUUCCAAAAAUCUUGGAUCCAAAGGGCAGAGGCUUAGAUAAAAAAAAAUCCUAAAGGAGAUUUAAUGUUUGAUAUACAAAUGUUAAGAUGCUAGAGCAAUUCCAAAUAUAUAUUUAAUAUAUGAAUAAUUAAGUACCUCAAACCAGCAACAAAUAUGAGGAAUGAAGGAUGUGAAUAUGAUGACUGAAAUGAGUUUCCUUCAAUUCCCGGACACAGGACUGAGAAAAAUGGGGGAGUCAUCCCCAACCAUCCUUAAACUCUCAACAUUUUGACCUAAAAGCAACAGUUGUAAUAACAGAGAAAUUUUUCAGAGCAGGGCCUUGCGGGGGGGAGGUGCUGUCCCCAGAAGGAGAGCAAACCUCCUCCUAACCCUGUUGUGAAAUAUUCAGCAGAGGAACAGUUGAACACCUGAAAACUUCAAGACUUUAGAGACUUGAAAUAAGGAUCUAAACUGUUAGAUUUUCACCAGUUUGGGGGGGCGGCGGGAAGAGGGAAGUUUGGUGUCAUUUUAAUUGCUUUUAAUUAGGGUUAAAAUUAAAACGAGUCUUUUCAACAACAGAGUAAUAAACAUGGAGGAAGAAGGUUAAGAAAGGGUUUAAUUUUCUCACGGGGGAGGGGAGGUUUUGGUGGGGUUCCUUUAGCCACCGAAAGGCUGCAGCGUUACUCGGGCUGGAGGCGGAGGGGGGUGGAUGUGUCUCUCUGCUCUGCCCUCGUGAGGCCUCGCCCGGAGGCUGCGCCCGGCUCUGACCCGGCACAAGCAGGAUGUGCCCGCCGGGGCGGCACGAAGGGGCAAGGAAGCAGCGGGCACAAAGAUGCUCAGAGGGCCGGAGCACCUCUCCUAUGGAGCCAGGCUGGGAGAGCCGGGGAUGUCCAGCCUGGAGAGGAACGGGCUCCGGGGGAGGCCUCACUGCGGCCCUCCAGUGGCCGAAGGGGCCUAUAGCAAAGGCAGAGAGCGAUUUCUUCACAUGGGCAGUGAGUGAGAGGAAAAGGGGGAACGGUUUAAAACCAGAAGAGGGACGAUUUAGAUUAGAUGUUAGGAAGAGCUGUGAGGGUGUCGAGACACUGGAACAGGCUGCCCAGAGAAGCUGUGGAUGCCCCAUCCCUGGAAGGCACUAUUCCAGGCCAGGCUAGAUGGGGCCCUGAUCACCCUGAUUUAGUGGAUGGUGUCCCUAUCCUUGGUAGGGGAGUUACAACCAGAUGAUCUUUAAGGUCCCUUCCAAACCAAAGCAUUCUGGGCCUCCACGAGGGUGCAAAGAGGACACCAGCUACCGGACCAUGGAAUGUUACCAAACGGUUGCCAAGCGGGCUCCUGCACAGAGGGGUCAGGAGCCCAACACUCCAUCGACAGUUGGCAGUUGGCGGAUACUCUGCUGGGAAGCAGGUGCAGAGCCUCUGUCUUCUCUGUCCCCGGUGGGAACAGAAGGCGAUUUGCUGAUAAUUUUCAAGAAAAAUUCUCAAGUAACUGUACAGAUUUGGAAGAACAUCGUUCUCUGAUUCCUAGAAAUCAGGACUUUGUAGAUUGUUCUACCUAAGGAAUAUAAGGGAUCGAUUGCUGUAACUUCCCUGAAAUUCCUUUUUCGGUGUUUGUCCCACUGACUUUUCCAGUGGUUUUAGAUCACAAAACACCAUGAGCACAAAUCGGCGAAAGCGCCGUGGAGGAGCCGUUAAUUCCGGACAAGCUUCGAAACGAAGCAGGCUGCUGGCUUCUAGUGCAGGUGAAGGUUCAGCAGCAGAGCCAAUAGACCUCGAAGAAAGUCGUGUGCUUUCUUUUGAUCUUGCUGUUGACGAAAUCAUAGAUCUCACAGGCGAAUCUGCUGAGCCUGAAGUCAUUGAUCUAACUGGUGAUGAUUCUGUUGUACAGUGGGAGCAGAAC